GAAAUGCGAUACGUAGUGUGAAUUGCAGAAUUCCGUGAAUCAUCAAAUCUUUGAACGCAACUUGCACUCUGUUUCGGCAGAGUAUGCCUGUUUGAGAAUCUAUAUAACUCUUCCGACGUUUUGUUGGAGAUUUGGGCGCUGUUUGCCCCUCUGGGGAAAACUCGCUUUAAACGUAUAGCUUCGGGUGCUGGGAAUGUUGAUUCUUAAACCAGAGAGAUGAAGGGUUCGCCCACUUCCUUUGGCGCGAGAAGAGUUUCCAGCGCUUUGGACCCAACCAUUAAGCCUUCUUUUUUCUUUCGGGAAGGAGAUUGCUGAAACCUAGGUCUCAAAUCAGGUAGGAAGACCCGCUGAACUUAA
Molecule: unclassified non-coding RNA, 357 nt
Filed under: uncultured Chytridiomycota
Lineage: Eukaryota; Fungi; Chytridiomycota
Description: sequence contains ITS1
Rfam family: 5.8S ribosomal RNA (bases 1-101)
Source: RNAcentral